Piliocolobus tephrosceles (Ugandan red Colobus) is the source of this 9447-nucleotide long non-coding RNA. RefSeq lists it as uncharacterized. The record is from RefSeq and is a predicted model, not a curated record. NCBI's taxonomy places the organism in Eukaryota, Metazoa, Chordata, Mammalia, Primates, Cercopithecidae. The transcript has 5 exons.
CUUAUAUCAUGGAAGAUACAGUUCUGCUUCUCUCAGCAGAGCAGAAUCCAGGACCUCCCCAAAACAGACCUACAGGCAGAGCAGGCUCCAGGGUCCACCACGAUGCCCGUCCCUGCCUCUCGGCCCUGCCUGAGAGAAACAACAGAAACGAUUUCAUCCAUCCCUGCUGCUGCCUCUGGCUGCUGGGACUCACAGGCUUGCUGUCAAAAUAAUCCAAACAGGGAAGAAAUGUACACGUAAACAAGAAAAGUCCCCAUACUCAUCUGGCUCCCUGAAGACAGCUACUUUUUAAGAGUUUCAUUUGCCUUCUUCAAGAGAGCUUUCUUUCACUGACAUAAAAUGCCAGCUUGAUCGUACAGUAAAUCUGUCUAUUUAUUUGGGUCCAGUUCUAGGUUCUCUCUUCUGUUUCAUCGACCUCUCUGCUUGCCUUGGUACCAACCUGCCUCUAGUAUUUAUUGCAGCCUGAAAAUGUGCUCUAACUUUCAUAUGCUGAAACCUGUGUACAUCUUUUGAAAAACUUUUCCAGCUAGUCUGUCAUGGAGGUUAGCAGUUUGUUUGUGGUUUAACUAUGCACUUCACUGGAUUACCGGGGUUGUUGAACAUCUUUUCUAGAUGUAUGUCUUCUCUUGUGACUUCCUGACUGUGUCCUUAGCAAGGGCUGUCUGUCUGUCUUGUCUCUAUGUCUCUCUUGAUACCCAGUUAAGAAAUGUGACCAUCCUAAAAGCUAAUACAUGAUAUGGAAAGAAAGAAUUAAUGGGGCUUCAAAUGCAAUCUGAAUCCAGGCACCUGGACCACAGCCUCAGCCACAGCUGGAGCUUGGAGCUGACCUGUGUUCUUCCAGGAGUGGCAGGUGAGGAGGAGCUGCAGGUGAUUCAGCCUGAGAAGUCCGUAUCAGUCACAGCUGGAGACUAUGUCACACCUGGAGACUGGUCAUUGCACUGUGACCUCCCUGAUGCCCAUCCAGUGGUUCAGAGGAACUGGACCAGGCCAGGAAUUAAUCUACAGCCAAAAAGAAGGCAACUUCCCCUGGAUAAGAACUGUUUCAGACAUCACAAAGAGAAACAACAUGAACUAUUCCAUCCAUAUCUGUAGCAUCAUGCAGGCAGAGCCGGCACCUACUACCGUGUGAAAUUCCAGAAAGGGAGCUUAACGUGGAGAUUAAGUCUGGACCAGGCACCCAGAUGUUUGUGCGUGCCCUCUCUUCCAAAGAUUUCUGGCCACUCCAACAGGGAUAUCCCAGGCCAACUAGUGAAUCUCACCUGCACCUCAACUGGCUUCUUUGCCGAAAACAUAUAUGUGAAAUGACUCAAAAAUGGCAUAGAGCUUCCAGCCUUUCAGAGCCACGUCUCCUCACCUGCAGAUGCUUCCUCCUACACCGUCAUCAGCACUGCUACAGUGACCCUUGGCUUCUCCUCACUCCACUCCCAGGUCAUCCGCCAGUUGGCUCACAGUGAAUUGCAGAGCCCCCUCAGAGGGCAUGUGAACAUCUCCCAAUUUCUCCAAGAGCUCCCUGCUGUCUAACGUCUUUGGGAGGUGGAACUUCAUUCACUAAUUCGACAGGUUUUUGUUGAGCAUCUGCUAUGUGGUGGCAUCAUUCUAGGUGCUGGAGAUUCUAUGGUAAACCGAGCAGACCUGGUUCUGCCUUGCUGAGUUUACAGUCAUGUGAACCCAAUCAACCAAGACGCAAACAACUAUAUGGUUAUGACUCAUCACAUUUGCUAUGAAGAGAAAGAACAAAUUGCUGAAAUAUAUGAAAAGGAGAGAAAUCCAGUUUACUCAGGAAAUGCCUUUUUGAAGAAAUGAUGUUUGAGCCAAGGCAUGGAGAAUGAAAAGGAGUCAGCCAAGCAAAGUGCAGAGUGUUCAAGGCACAGGAAACAGAGCAUGCAAAGGCCCUGUGCUGCCGUGGGGAGCAAGACAUGUCUGAGGAGCAGAGACGAAGCCAGUGUGGCUGAGGCCUAGUGAGAGGGUGAGUGCAUGGAAAAGGAAGAGGCUGGCAAGAGAGGGCCAGGGACCUGAUCACUUAGGGCUUCAUAGCAAAGAAGUUUCUCCCACCUGAACUCGCUGUGGGAACUCCUAACACCACUGUUCAAACCGCCAUGCCACCACUGCCUUGCCGCCAGUCACCACCUUUGAAACACGCUUCUUAAACUCACCUGGCAACAGGAGAAGCAGCAAGGCAGGCUACACACACAUGCCCUUUCUGGCUCUUACUUCUUAAGGACAGAGUCCAUUGUUUAUUUCCCAAGAGCAAGCCCAGGCUGUUGUGUUGAAUCCAACUUUGCAGAAAUAUAGAAAGAAAGGCAAAGGAAAUUAUCCUCACUGCUUUUCAAGUCCAUCUGCCUUUGCCUUCAAAGGGGCUUUCCCCAGAGGCCUGUACUGUCCUUUGCCCCCCCACCAACCUCAGCAUAGUAUAGUCUCAAUUACCUCCUGCAGAUGGGUGAAGUUCCUUCCAGGGGUCCAGAACUCCAUCUUUCCUUCUCUCCAGCUCCAGCCAGAGAAAACCAAGGAGACCCAUUAAUAGCACCAUAGUCUCCACAGCAACCCCAUAAGGGAGAUAAUUUAUGGUAUCAUUGUCAAAAAUUUAGUUCCUCAUUACUCAAACGCCUCCAUCCCAAAAUAGAAGUCUGUCUUGCUUAAUCAAAAGAUACCACAAGAGAGCUGCAGCCUGGAAAGUGAAUUCUAGCCUCCACAUCAAUCAUCCCAGAGAAACUAGAGGCAGCUGUGUGUCCUUGCUUCGUUCAGAUGAGGAAACUGAGGCCCAGAAAAGUGAAGUGACUUGCCCAAGGUCACAGGGUUCUUCAGUAAGCAUGCUGGAAUUUGAAUCCAGUGUUAAACCUCUUCAGAUAACUACCUCUGAUCUGUCUCCUGUAAGAACCACCUAUGCAGAGAUACCAGAGAGAGGCAAUAACCAACCCCACUUUCCCCAAGAGUGGUUGUCUCAGUCAUGGUCAGCCCAGAGAUGGGCGUUGUGCUGCUCCCCCAACCCUCUCAGAGCUUGCUGCUCCUUCUGUCCUACUCGUAUAAGUGAAGACACUCCCCCUCAACCAAGUCAUCUAAGCCAGAAACCUGUUCUCACCCAACCCAUCACCAAGUUCUAUCAGAUAUCACUCCCAAAUAUUUCCUGAACUCAUACAUUUCUUUCCACUGCCACUACUUAAACUAAUACUUAAGUUCAAGCCAACAUCCAUCUCUUACCUGAGCAAUUGCAAGAGUCUCCGAAUUGAUCGCUAAUAUCCACCAUUGCCCUGUACAGUCCAUCCCCAAACUCCCAGCAGCCAGGGGGAUUUUAUAAAGGAAACCAGAUCAUGUCUCUCCUUUGCUUAAAACCCUACAGUAACUCAUCACUUCUCUUAGGGGAAAAAAAAAAAUCUUACUGAGAUGUUCAACUGUGAUAUUCAAGCAUUUUUGUGCAUAUUUCCCUAAAAUAAUUGUGCAAAACUAUAUAGUCUAUCAUGUAUUUUAAAGUUGACAUCUAAAAUUUUUCAUUAUAACUUAAAUAGUCACACAGAACAUAACUCCUGGAGUAUUACAAAUGUUGCAUCACUCCAAAACAUAUUCAGUGAAAACAAUAACAUCAUCAUAAUUUAAUUUCCACCAUCAUCCAUUUAAACAUACAUAAAGAAGCUCUUCUUUAAUAAUCAGGCAUUUUAUAUCAUUCCUUUUACUUCCUAAUGCUGUAUUUCCAUUCUAACUCCCAUGAAGAAUUUAACCUUAAUGUAACAUAUUUUACAUUGGAAAAUCUUUUAUUGACUAUCAAAUCAUACAGAUACAUAUCACAGAGAACUAUGAGAACACAGAACUCAAGCAAAACCACAUCUAUAAAUUGAAAUUUAAAAUAAAAUUUUUAUGACCGUAAGACUCUCAGUGUCAAAAAACAUUCUUUUGGAUUGAAUUACACAAUUGAUCCAAACAAUCUAAAUGUAUAAAAAUUUUUGAUAAGUAAUUAUUAAAAUAGCCAUUAACAUGGUAUUGGAAUUGCAGUUUGGCAAGGUAGAUGGGGGAGUUGAUGGUCCUUUAGUUAAAGCAGGCUUCCUGGCCAGCAGUAUUUGCAAUGUAAAGUAUUUUGCAUCCCAAAGUCUUUACACUAAGGACAAUGCCCCACAGCUAGAUUCAGGAAGUGUGGGAGGAAGGCCUUUCUUCUGUGAUAUGGGAGAAGGAAAAUUGAGAAACCGGAGGUAAGAAAAGAAAGUGGCCCUGAUGCUCAUUCUCAGGCAGAUCAAUAUAACUAAACAGUUUUAUGAGGGUUCAGGAUCUGGAAAUUAAUUGUAUUAAAAUAAUGUUCCUAUGCCUUAGAAUGUCUUUAAGUGCCUCCAGGGCACCUAUAAGUAUAGCCAGCCUCCAGAUUGGCUAUGAAUUCAGCCUCACUCAUCCAUCCUCUCUCUCAUUCACUUUGAUCUUCUUUCUAAAGUCCAUGGAAACUCAGGGCCUCUGCCCAGGUCCAUCCAUCUGCUGAGAUGCCAUCCCCACCCUCACCCUCUCCCAGCACCCCCUUCCUCCUGCCCCACAAACCCUUUUGCCUAAUGUUUCACAAUUGUUAGGGGUAUAGAGCCAAUUAUCCCCAAAUUUAUUCCAGUAUUCCAAAUUUACUCCAUAUUCCCUUAAAUGAUUAUGCUUUUAGAUGCUGUGGGUCAAGAAUUCCAGCAGGGCUGGGCAAGGACAGCUUGCUCUGUUCCAUGAUGGUGAAGCCUCAGCUGGACAAUUCAGAGGCUGGAAUCACCUGAAGACUCCUUCACUAACAUACCUGGCCAUUAGUGCUGGCUAUUCUUGGCAUGGGCUUUUCCUUAUUAUCUUUCUGUUGCCAGAAAAAGAGUCCCUAAUCAGGUUCCAAGAGGGGGUUGUUGGAUCUGAUAAGGAAGAAGUUAAAGGUAAGUCACAGAGUACAGUGAGAAGAGAUAGUUUAUUGAAACUAUUCACUUACAGGGCGGGGUGUCCUCAGAAAGCAAGCAGAGGAAUGCCUCAUCUGUUUUAAGUUUUUCUUAUAAAGACGUCUUGUCCAUGUAAAAGCUAAGCUAAGCUGUGUCUACAUGCACGUGAGCGGACAACAUGACAAAAUAUAUUAUUCUAUUGAUUUGAAGAAAACUAUCCUUGACAUUCUAGAGUGUGAGUACAUCAAAGAAUAACUAUAAUGAUAUUGAAAACAUAUAUUGUUAUAGGUAUUGGGACAUGUUGACUUUCCACUGUUGUAGAAAUGUGUCUUUGUAGGAAUCUUUAGGCUUUUUCUUCAGUUGUAAAUAUCCUGUAACUGUGGGUCGUGACCAGCAAGGAAUGUGCCUUGUUGGUUCCAAGAUGGAGUUGAACUUAAAGUAGCGUUAGUCUGGCUCUCCUAGGCUCCUGCUUCCCCAACAUUUCCACAUAGGCUAGUUAUAGCUUGUGACUGUGUCCCAAGGGUGUGUCCCAAGAAAGAGCUAGGUAGAAGCCAUACCAGCUUUUAUGACCCAGCCACAGAAGUCAUACAGUGUUGUCCCUACUGCAUUCUAUUCAUCAAAGCAGUCACAAAGUCCAGGGGAGCAGAAACAGACUCCUCCUCUAAAGCAGAGUAGCAGAGUUCUGGAAGAGCAUGUGGGGUAUGCUGCCAUCGUUUUUAGAAAAUGCAGUCUGCCACACAGAGUUAACUCUUACUCAUCUUUCAUAUUUCCACUCAAAGAUUUCCACUCAAAGGUUACUUCCUCUGGAGACCCUUUCCUAACCUGCCUUCCUGCAGACCAGGUCAAGUGCCCCUAUUGUAGGCUCUUGGAACUCUAGUGGGGGUCAUGUGUCUGCUUUGUUUCCUUCCUGUCCUCCUCACCAGAGUGGGAGUUCCAUAAGGCAAGGCAGGGAACAUGCCUGUCUUGAUUCAUGCUGUAUUCCAAGAACCCAGCACCCUGCCUAGAAAGGUGUGGACACCCCUUGAGCAUGCUUUGCAUAAAGGAAGAAACUAACGAAGGCAGUGCUGUUGUUUCAGUUGUACCCACAGUGAAUAUCUCUGCACACCACCUCCUAGGACUCCAGGCUGCCAUUCUCACCUGCCAUGUGCAAAGGUUUUACCCCAAACCCAUUGCCUGGCUAAAGACAAAUGGAUACUUCAAGACCUGUGAGGCCCUUGGCCCCACCAAGAACCCAGAUGGCACAUUCAGCCAAGACAAUCAUAUCCUGGUCAACACUUCAGAGUGGAAGGAUAAAAAACAGUUCACCUGCCAAGUGUGGCAGAAUAACCAGGCUCUGGUCCAGGCUAGCAGGCAGCUGAGCAGACCCAAAGAAGAGUAAGGGAGUCUGGGAGAGUAGGACCAGAAUAACCAAGCAGGUAAAGGCUCAGACCUAGAGACAGACAGGCCAGGUUCAAAUGCAGGCUUUGCUGUGCUCACCAUGUGUGACAUUGGAAAAGUCACUUCACCUCUUUCUGAAUCAUCUAUAAAAUGGGACAGCAAUUAUGGCAUCCUCUUUAGAGCAUUGUGUCUCCAGUACCAAAUUGCAAUAAGUGCUGCUUUCAUCAGCUGAAUCCUGACCAGUCACUCGUUUUACCAGAUACUCCUUUGAAUAACUAAGCUAAUAUGAAAUAUCUUUCCCCAGUUCCCAUCCAUCCUUCAAAAGUCAUUCAGAUUCAACAAUUGCUGAGCACCUAUUAGGCACUUUGGUUGCUCCCAUUUGAUACAAAAACAUUCUGAAAUGUGUGUUAUAAUUCCCACUUUACAGAUGAAGGAAACUGAGGCUUAUAUAGGUGAGGUGACUCUCCUCGAGACAAGGGUAUAGUCUUGGGACCUGAGUCAGAGGUGGGGCUGAGCCUGCUUGGGGGUCUAAUGGAAACAGGAUCCAACCUCAUCCUGACAUUGUUCUGUCACCAGGUACCCCUGUGUGCAACUCCCUCCUGCUCCUUGGCUGGAACUUUCUGUCAUCUAUGUCUUUAGGAGGAGACUUUCUUCCAGGUCACAGACACUGCAGAGGCAAACCUCUACAGUGACGUAGGACCCUCAGUCCCUCCUGACUUAUUCUGGAGGACUGGCCUCAGAGGAGGACCUGCCAUGAUACCUGUAACUGCUCCCCCAGCUUCUCUUGCCGCAUCAGCCUUCUGAGACCUGAACAGCACUGACCAUCCCUCCUUAUCUCCUGCAGCCCCAAGAGGAAGGGAGCACCUAGAUUGGAAAGGUCAACAGUGAGAGGCAGAUUCUCAUGCCCUACCCAGGAAUGAAUUUUCUGUGGAAAGUCUGACCUCAGAGUCCAUGAUGCUGACCAAGAAACCCAGCAGAGGCAGGAUAAGUUCCAACCCUGAGAAAAAUAGAUACCUGCAUUUCUGAUGGCUCCUUCCUGGCUCAUCAAGGAAAGCCCCUUGUGCGCACCCAAGCUCUGCCAUGAAACCUCUACAGUCCCAUCAUUAAAAUUGAGUUCAAUGAAACACUUAUGGCCAAUAAACAUAUGAAGAAAUGGCCAACCUCAUUAGUAAUCAGGAAAAGCCACAGCAAAACCACACUGAGAUGUCAUUUUGUCCCUGUUCAAAUAGCAAAAAUAAAGAAGCCACUGGAUCUUUUUUGCAUUACUAGUGGGCACAUAAACGGACACAGCUGUUUUGGGAAACAGAUUGGAAAAUUUUGUUGUGUUAAACACUCACAUACCCUAUAACCUGGCACUUCCACUCUCGGGUUACACCCAAAAGAAACUUGCACAUGUGCACCAGGAGAUAUGUACAAAUAUGUACAUGGAGGCAUUGUUUAAAAUUAGCAAAACCUGAGAACAAUCCACAUGCCCAUCUACAGUACGAUGUGUGAUAAACUUAGUACAGUCACAGAAUGGGAUAUCCUAUAGAAAGCAAAACUAACCACAGCUGCACACAGUAACAUGGAUAAAUUUUAGUAAUACAAUAUUGAUAGGGGUAAGCAAGCCCCAGAGAUUUCAUGCAAAAUGAUAGUCUUUUAAUAAAGCUAAAAACAGCUAACAUUAGUUUUUGGAAAUACACAGAAAUAUAAUGAAACCCAUGUAUUUUUAAAAGGAACAAGGAACACAAGAUUAAAAAUAGCAGUGACCUUGGAUGUAGGGGGGGCAGAAGGAUGAGAAUUUGGGGUACAUAAAGGUAAGUGGAAGUUACCGUGAAGGUUCUAGCUUCCAUGAUGUAUGGUGGCUUCACAAAUGUUUAUAUUAAGAUUUUUUUUAAAUUGAGAGAUUAACAAUAUAAAAUUGAUAUAAGUAUGAAGUAGAUAGAUAGAUGCAUGGUUGAUUGGAAGGGAGAGAGGGAGUGAGGGAGGAUGGAUGAAUGGAUGGACAAGAUGGAUGGAUGGAUGGGCAGACAGAUGGGUGGACAAACGACCAAUGGACAGUUGUAUAGAUGAAGGGGUAGGUAAACAAAUUAAUAAAAAGGGUCAUGCAUUGUCAAUAAUGAUAGUAUCAUGCAGCAUGAAUUAUAAUAGGUACAAUUCUGUGUACUUAAGAUUGAAAGGAAAAAAAAUAAACAGAGGGACAUUAUCUAGAGAACCCCAAGUUCCCUUCCUAUUGUGACAUUCUACAGUUCCAUAUAAGGAAGAAAAACAGUUACUGGAUGCCACCACGGGCCUGGGACUUCAUGUGCAGUUGUGUCUCAUUUCAUCCUCAUACCGGUUUUACAAGGUGGGCGCCAUGCUCCAUUUUGCAGGUAAGGGGACCUGCCCAGUGUCACUUAGAUAAUAAGUGGUAGAACCAAGAAAUCCAGAUUCAAACCCAACUCUUCUCACUGCUUUCCAAGGAGCCACAUGGUCCCGUAUUCUAGACACAGAUAAGGUGAUCUUCACCCAUCCUCAAUCCAUUGCUUCCUGGCCUGUCAGCCAGACUGUUCUACAGUAAAGUCCACUUGGUACUAUGGGUGGUGACGGGAAGGAAGAUCAUAUGUGUGCCCUUUCCCAGGUUUGAAAUGUGGUCCUGGAGUAGAUCGAGGGUUCAUCAUAAGCACCAAAAUGGCCCUGUGAAGACUUGGGAAGAUGGUGUAGUCCAGAAAAGCCUUUUACAGAAAAGGCUUUUUGUAAAAGGGUAAGUAUGCCCAGAGGAGAUAAACAUCCUGCUCUAUUAGUUUUAUUGUGACUUUGAACCUUUGUAGUCACAGAAACAGAGAUAUUCCCCCUCAGAUAUGCAUCUCCUUUUCAAAAUUUUCUACUUACAAUAGAGCUGCUUCAGCUUCAAUAUUCCCAUUCCUGGGCUCCAAUGUUGAGAACCUUGAGGAUAUCUUGUCUGUCUUCAAUGAUGAGGGUAUCAUGAAGCAAGAAUUAUAAUUUACCUCCCCCUUGAAGCAGGACCAUGACUAAGAUGAGGCAAAGUUCCUAGGAAACAAAAAGUAAGACACUCAUUCUGAGGCCUGAGCAGGGCAGUGUCAGUAUGUAUAACACCUUGUGAUGUGGGCUGGCUGUAUCCCCAACCAAAUCUCAUCUUGAAUUGUAGUUGCCAAAAUCCCCAUGUAUCAUGGGAGGGACCUGGUGGGAGGUAACUGAAUCAUGGGGGAAGUUAUCUCCAUGCUAU